Molecule: unclassified non-coding RNA, 279 nt
Filed under: plant metagenome
Description: partial contains small subunit ribosomal RNA, internal transcribed spacer 1, and 5.8S ribosomal RNA
Source: RNAcentral
UUUCCGUUGGUGAACCUGCGGAGGGAUCAUUAAUGAAUUAGAAAGGAGUUGUUGCUCUCUUGUCCCCGCGAGCAUUUGAACAACACAAUCUCUUCCAUCUUAUCCCGCUGCAACCUUGCGCGAGUCACUCUGCAAAGCGCUCGGCAGGCCUUGUGUUUUUUCUACUAUCUCCUAUGAAUGUAAUUCGAUGACUUAAUUCUAUACUCGCAGCUUAAACCACUUCCCACCACGGAUUUCUUGGCUCUAGCAUCGAUGAAGAUCCUACCCGAACGGACGAGC